Molecule: long non-coding RNA, 453 nt
Organism: Sorghum bicolor (sorghum)
Lineage: Eukaryota; Viridiplantae; Streptophyta; Magnoliopsida; Poales; Poaceae
Exons: 2
Source: RefSeq, a predicted model, not a curated record
UGCACCCGCGCGCGAUGAAGCAGGGACGGACGAGCUAGGGUUUAGAAGCGCGGGGUGAAUGAGCCGGCAGGGGACGGGGUCGGGGGGAAGUGGAAGGAAGACGCGGCGGGAGUUUUCGCGGGGUUCCUCCUUUCCUUGCGCGACAAGGACGACGGCUUUCCCCCAUUUUUUCACUGACAAGUGGGGCCCGGAGAACCUCGCGCCACAAGCCCCCGAUUGACAAAAGAGGACGUUCACGUUCGAACGCACUCAAAUAUCGGAGCUGUUCAUCAAAUCAAAAAAGCUUGGAAAAUAUGUAAUGCUCCCCGAGACAACUCCAGCAUAGCAGUUUCAAAAUCAGUUUCAAAACUUUCAAUGCAGCACAAACACUUGUAUUGCCAGGCACAUUUUAAAUUUGUGUUUUAGUCGUGUGCAAACUGCAUUCAUUCAACAUAGCUGCAAUCAGUUACAAAA